UCUAGUGCAGUAGCCAAUUUCUACAUGCCAAUUAAUUAAAAUUGUAGCCGAGCUCCUAAGUGCAAACUCUUUCUUUCUACUGAAAAACAAACUUGAGACGCAUCCUUACCCCAACCAAGCACCAGUAAGUGGAUCUUAUUGCUUGAAGGCCAUCGGGCUACAUAAGGUUGCAAAAUUGUUCAAGUUGUAGAUUUAAGGGGUCAGACUUGCAUUGCACUUUUGCUGGAUUCUCUCCUCAUAAAC
This 243-nucleotide long non-coding RNA is filed under the name Elaeis guineensis (African oil palm). RNAcentral's name for it is "long non-coding RNA (EGUI_LNC057862)". The record is from RNAcentral. Lineage: Eukaryota; Viridiplantae; Streptophyta; Magnoliopsida; Arecales; Arecaceae.